Molecule: long non-coding RNA, 5612 nt
Organism: Lycium barbarum (goji berry)
Lineage: Eukaryota; Viridiplantae; Streptophyta; Magnoliopsida; Solanales; Solanaceae
Exons: 2
Source: RefSeq, a predicted model, not a curated record
UUGGAAGCUAAAAUGUUUCUUUCUAUUUUUAAACUUUCCUAUUUUUUAUAUCAACCAAAGACUACGCAAAUUUCACUCUUUUCCACUUUAGCUAAAUAUCUUGUUUCUUAAGACAAGUUAGCAACAGCGUUUUCUUUCCAACAUAGCAUCAAGAUUUUAUAUUUAAGUGGAUCGAAGGUUACUUCGUGGUGAACUAAAGUGACGAGAUCUUCAAAAGAAGGUGACUCAAGUUUUAUCCGUCGUCUACGCCUUUCUACGAGCACGUAUGAGCGUCUAAGGUUAGAUGUCUAUCAGAAGAAUUGACUCGUUAUAGUCAUUCAAUUUAAGAUGGAUUUGAGGUUCAGAUUUACAUGAUGACAGGCAUUCUUUCUAUAUGAUACAGAUGUUCAGCGAGAUGGUGUAAGCUCCACUUCCCUCUAGAUCAAAGUCAAGUCUAGUACUCUUAUUAAUGUUAGAAAUUACUGGUUGGUCGGGGCCCUAUCCCGACACUUGUAUCAGUUGUCUAUUUGUAAGUAUUCAUAGAGGCUUCAUAGACAGUACAUGUGGGUCAAUUAUAUUCAGUUGCAUAUCAUGGUCUAGUGGCUACAUUUAUGUUUAGAAGUUAUUUACAGAUGUCAUCUGUCUCUCAAGUUACAUUAUUCGAUAUAGUACAAGUUUACCGUAGUUGCAUAAAGAGUAUAGUUCAUCCCAUUCAGAUUUGGGGCUUGACAGUGGCCCAUGCCGACCUCGCUAGUCUCACACAUACAGACCAACACGCGCAGGUGCGGUGCACCAGAACCAGAAAAUGGCCAAAACCCAAAAACUUCUGAUCCAACACUCGAAACUCAUUCAGAACCUCCUGAACACAAAUCAAAUGUUCAUUUCUAUCAUAAAACACGCUACAAACUCGCUCGUGCACUCGAAAUUCCCAAAGAGGUUACCUUGACCUAGUGUUGACCUAGGUCGACUCCAAAGCAUCAAUAUUUUAACUUUCCAACAAACACCCAAAUCACACCCGAACAGCUUGAGACUCGAACCGAAGGCUCGACUAAGUAAAAAAUCACAUUUCGGACCAAACGGAAUCGACGAAACUUCCAAAAUUAAGCAUUUAACCUCGAUGUUGACUUUGCUCAAAGAUCUAUAUUUCUUUAAUUGAGAAAACUCCAUUUUCACUAAAACCAAAACCCACCUGAUUACCUCGAGAACCGCAACACCCAUCCUUCAAGUCAUAAAUACCAAAUUGAAACUACGAGAAAGGUAUUUUGGGCAAAUAAGUAAAACUAUCAAAAUGACUAAGCAAGUCGUUACAAUAUACCUGAUAAGUUGGACAUAUGUGAAAGUGGUACAGCAGUUGACCGGUCAUAUAACGACUCUCAACAGGUUCAUAUCUCGGUCGUCUGAGAAGCCACAUAAGUUCUUCUCGCUGCUCAAGAAUAAAAAUGACUUUGAGUGGAUGCUAGAGUGUCAUCAGGUAUUGCGCAAUUUAAAAGCAUACCUAUCCAGUCCUCCGCUCAUGUCAAAACUAAAAUACGAAGAACAACUUAUGGUGUACCUAGCCGUCUCGGAGGUGGCGGUAAGUGCGGUUUUAGUAAUGAAGAAAAAAGUAUGCAAUUCUUAGUUUACUAUAUAAGUAGAAUCAUUUCCAGGGCUGAAACUCGGUACCCGCUUCUGGACAGUUUAGCCAUUGCUCUAGUGAUGGCAUAUCGAAAGCUUAGGUCUUACGUCCGGUGCCACCUCAUUGAUGUAGAAACUAUGUUUCCUUUGUUGAAUGUGCGUCAAAAGACCAAACUUUCAGGACGGCUGGCCAAAUGGGUAGUGUAACUCAGUGAAUUCGAUAUAGAAUAUAAAACCCGCACCGCGAUUAAGUCACAAGUCCUAGCCGAAUUCGUUGCUAAUUCCAAUCCAAGGGUAGCUCCACAAGUAGAAAAAAGAAGCCGCCCUGGUCUCGGAGACUAUCCUAAGGGUUUGGAUGCUCUACGCUGAUAGGGCAUCUAAUGUAAAGGGAACAUGUCUAGGAAUAGUCUUACAUACUCCCUCCGGUGAAAUUUUGAGACAAGCAAUACAUAGUGUACCUUUAACUAACAAUAAAGCUAAGUACGAGGUUGUAAUUGCAAGUCUUGAAUUAUCCUGCGGACUGAGCUCUAGAAAAUCAAGGUAAAAUGCGACUGCCUAUUGGUAGUAAAUAAGGUCCAUAGAGUAUUUGAGGCAAAAGAGGAGUGCAUGUUACGGUAUCUCAAAAAGGUUCUAAAGUUGCUCUCCAGAUUCUAGGAAUGGAUGAUGGUGCACGUACCCUGGAAAGAAAACAUAGAGGCGGAUGCCCUUCCAAUUUGGGAUCUUUCACAGAAGCAGAAGGAUCGAGUACUGGAUCUGUAGUGCAAUUUCUUUACUAGGUAUUAGAUCUCGCGGGUUACAAUGAAGUGAAUUCAACGAGCUUUGUUUAGAUUGGAGGAAUGAAUCCACAGAUUACCUCAAACACGAAAAGCUACCGGAUGACUUAAUGGCGUCUAGGGUGUUAAGGGCAAAAACAACACAGUAUGGUAUCAUAGAUGGGAUACUUCAUCGGUCGUGUUAGGAUGGUCAAUUUGCAGUAAUCAUUCCGGGGCAGAUUCGUUAAUGAGAAAGCUGAUAAGAGCUGGAUACUAUUGGUCCCUGAUUAAGGAGGAUACAAAAGCAUUCUUUCAGAAGUGCGACCAGUGUCAAUGCCAUGCUUGAAUGUUUCAUCAACCGGGGCAAGAAUUGCAUCCGGUUAUGUCUCCAUGACCAUUUAUGAAAUGGAGAAUGGACAUAGUCAGGCCUUUGCCUUCUGGCCUGGGACAAGUAAAAUUUGUAUUUGUUAUGACUGAUUAUUGUUUUAAGUGGGUUGAAGCAGGUGCCUACCAGAAGGUAUGGGAGAAUGAGGUGAUGGAUUUCAUCCGACAGCAUAUCAUCCGCCAGUUUAGGAUGCCGAAAGAAUAGCUUGUGACAAUAGGCCUCAAUUUAUCGGCUCCAAGACACUAAAUUUCUGGAGGACUUGAACAUCAAAAGGAUUACCUCCUCUCCUUAACACCCCAGCGCAAACGGACAGGCGGAGUUAAUUAAUAAGACUAUAAUCCAAAAUUUGAAGAAAAAUCUAGAAGAUGCCAAAGGUUUUUGGCUAGCUAAAUUACCUGAGGUGAUUUGGGCGUACCGAACCACAGUAAAGUCAAGCACCGGGAAACGCUAUUUUCCCUCGUAUAUGGAGUAGAGGAAUUAUUCCCGGUCGAAAUGGGGACUCUGUGUUACACCCACAGUUUUGUAUUUUGAGAUUCACCAUGCAUUAGUUGUUCUAAUCUUGGAUACAAGGUUAUCAAGGUUAAAUGAAAUUAGACAAGUUUAUCUCAUAGUUAUAAAGGGUUAAGUUCAUAUUUAGCAGGUAUUGGACGGAUUAAAAGUUGAACAAAUUGACGAAAAAAUGUUUCAGGGGAAAAGUGGGUUUUACGGCCUGAUAUACCAAUCGUAUAAUGUUUUACGGACCGUAUAUUUGGCUAACCUCCACCGUAAACUGGUUCCAGAAAGGGUGAACCACUAGUGAAGAUUUACGGUCCAAUUAUAUGGACCGUACACUGUUUUACAAACCGUAUAAUUGACUGACUCCAUCGUAAAAUGGAUUCAGAGAAGGGAGAAGCACUGAUCAGGAUUUACGGUCCAGUUAUACGGACCCUAUGAGUUUUACGGUCCGUAAAUUUGACCAUAAAAUUGGGUCGGGCCAGAUUUUGUUGAAGUUAUAUAUAUUCGUCCCUCACUCAUUUUAAUUCAUUUCCAACAUUUCCCAACUUCUUGAGAGAUCUAGAACCUUCUCCCUUUUAUAUUUAACAAAACCCAAGUGAAAUCAAAGAUCAAGAGGCAAAAAUCAAGAGAAUCAAGUGUUGGGAGGCUCACUAGGGUUUGUAGAACCCAAGAAUUUCUUUGGUGUUGAAGUUGGGGUUUCACUCAAGUGGGAUAGUUGAUUCAAAGCUUGAUCUUGUGUGAUUAAGGUAAGUUUUUACAUCUAUUUUUAUGUUAUUAAGACUGCUUGGUUGUUGAACAACUUGAAUGAGGGAAGAAAGUAAAAGAGGAAGUUCAAAAUUUUGAGUAAUAAAUUAACUUGAGUUGUAGUUGUUGGAGUAUUUUGAGUAUAAUCUUGCUAUAAAUGGUGGAAAUGAUUAUGUGGAAGUAUGGUAUACGAGUGUAUAUAGGGUUGUGUUGAAAUUAUUGUUGUGUGUUGAUUAUGAAAAGUAGUUUUGAGCAUUAAAUGAUGUCUCUUGAUUAUGGAAUUGAUGAUAAUGUUAUUGUUGAUUGGGAGUUGUUUUAUGAUAUAAUGGAAGUCGAUAAGAGGGGAAAUGCUGCCCAAAUUUCGUCAAUUCGUUAUUAAUACUAGUUUGAACUUAAGAGUGUUUUCAAGACUUAACCUUAGUAUGAUUCUCUUGAAUGUAGACUUUACGAACUUGGAAGGAGAACGUUAGGUGAUUAAGGAGACGUUAAGGUAUGUUAAGGCUAUCCCUUCUUUCAUUUUUGGCAUGAUCUUAUGAUAUGAACCAACAAGCGAGUAAACGAGCUUCCAUAUUAUUCUACUCUUAGAAGCAGUAGGGGUACUUCAGUCAUUGAUGUUCCUAUACCCCUUUUAUGAUUGUUCCUUCUAUUCAUGGGUCUUGAAAGUUCUUAUAUUGAUGAUAUUAGCUCAAAGAUGUACAUCGGAGGUAGUACGACCUUAUGUCACUCCAAGAGUCAUACGUAUUCAUUUAAUUUAUGCAUUGCAUUCACUUAUACAUAUGCACAUUGACCUAUGACUAGAAGGCGUUAUAUACGCGUAUAUUAUAUGUAUAUGGCGUGUGGGGAAAGGGAUAGGCGUUAUAUACGCAUUACCAUCUGAUCAGUUGUGCACAGUGAUGAUGAUGAUGAUGAUAUGUGGAUCGGCCCGUACGUUCCUCGGCACUAUUAUAUGAUAUAUGGAUCGGGUCGUACGUUCCUCGGUACUAUUAUAUGAUAUAUGGAUAGGGCCGUACGUUCCUCGGCACUAACAUAUGGGAUAUGGAUCGGGCUGUACGUUCCACAGCACUAACAGUUAUAUUAUGACCUAUGCAUAUCAUGCGCCCUCAGAGGCAUUUUCAUGUUAUACAGAGUUAUACAGAUGUUCCCAGAUGUUCAGCCACAGAUGCAUUCAAAUAUUGAGAUUUUCCUUCAUGUUGCAGAUGUCUCUUAUGAUUCAUAUGUACUUGAUGUUCCUAUGACUUUGUACUUGAUGUUCUUAUGCCUUACAUACUCGGUAUAUUAUCCGUACUGACUCCCAUAUUGUUCGGGAGGGUUGCGUUCAUGCCCGCAGGUUCAGGUAGGCAGAGAGGCGAUCUAGCUCAGUAGGAUUUCCCCUCAGCUGUAGUUGGUGCGCUCCACUUGAUCCGGAGUCGCAGUUCAUUUUGGGUAUGCUAUAUUCGAGAUGCAUGUUUAUGGGUAUGACGGGGCCCUGUCCCGUCCUUUCUACAGUUUGUAGUCCAGUAGAGGUCUGUAGACAGUUGUAUGUAGAUGACAUGUGAUGUUGCCUUGUUAGCUCCUAUUCUUUUGUGUACAACAUAUCUAGCGGCCUAGUCGGCUUGUAUUGUUCUUUCCAGCUUAUAUAUAUACAGAUUGUACAGGGUUCAUGA